UUAAAGAAGAGUGAAAGAGGAAAUAAGCAACAAAGCUCUUCAUCCAGAGUUGAGCCUUCACAACAUGUCCAAGAAGGAAAGGAUGAAGAGACAUCUGAACACUGCCAAAGCCCUGAAAAUGUUUAACAACUUGGGCAUUGGUGAUUCUGAUGGAGGCUGUACAUCAGAGCUCGGAAAUGACAGCGAUCUUUCCUGGGUACACGAAAACACCUCCUCAGAGAGUGACACAGAGCCUGUACCGAGGAAAAAGAGAUGACUUUUCCUGGCAACUACAGCAUAUAACAGUCUAGGCCUCCCUGAAUCAGCUCUUGAGCCCACUGGAGUGCUUAGCUCGUCACUGGUGUCAUCUCAGCCAGAGGCGGCUGUGGAAAAGGGGAAGGAUGGGGCGGUGUGGAUGGUCCUUCAGGCAGAUGGACAUCCAGGGAGAAAGCAUAGCCAAAAUGUCCUGAUGGAAGCUGCUGGCCCCCAGCAAACACAAAACGCAACGUCGAGGAUGCGCUCACUGCCUUUGUGUAUGUUUUUGAUGAUGGCAUGCUGAAGCACGUCAGGGACCACACUGUAGCUGAGGCUCAUCGGGAGAACGGUGACAGCUCGUGGGACCUGCCAGUGGCUGAACUCAAAGCAUUCAUAUCGCUGUUGUAUGUCUGUGGCACACAGUGCGCUAAAAACAUUAAACUCAAGACUCUGUAGUCUGUGAAAUGGGGCUUCCCACUUUUCACACAAACGAUAGUAAGAAAUCACUUCAGGGACUUAAUGGGGUCCCUGCGAUUUGAUAGAAAGGAGACCCAAUGUGUGCGUCUGCAGGACGACAAGUUUGCCCUGGUGUGGGCCACUUGGGACCGGUUCAUCCAGAACAGUAUAGCCUGCUACAAACCCGGCAGCAUCAUCACGAUUGAUUAGCAGCUGUUCCCCACAAAGGCCUCCUGUAAGUUUACCCAAUAUAUGGGGAAUAAGCCUGAUAAAUUUGGCAUCAAAUUUGAUUGGCUGUAGAUGUCGACUCCAAAUAUAUGCUGAACGGGUCUCUAUAUCUGGGGAAGGAGGAGACGCGGAGCACAGGUCAGCUUGUGGGACCACAGACAAUUUCUUCACAUCCCUAAAACUGGCCACCACCUUACAGGCAAAGAAGAUGAGCCUGGUUGGCACUUUGGGUAAGCAAAAACAGGAGUUGCCCCCUUCCGUGAAACAGCAAGCAGAGCUGUUCAGUUCGAAGGUUCUGAAGUGUACUGAUGCAACUCUGAUGGUGCACCAGGGAAAGCCGAGGAAGAACGUCUGCAUCCUGAAUACUGUGCACACAGGUGUGGGCACCUUUAGUGGGGCAAAGUCAAAGCCAGAGUCCGUCACGUAUUAUAGCAACACGAAGUACGGCGUAGAUGUCCUGGACCAGAUGGCAAGGGCGUACUCAGUCAAAGGCGGUACGCGAAGAUGGCCAAUGGUGGUGUUCUACAACAUCCUCAACCUGGGAUCAGUGCCCACAUCUUAUUCCAGGAGUGCACCAGCAGAAUCAGUACUUAAUGUAAUAAGUUUAUAAAAUUUGUAUUAUAUAAUUGUAUGUUGUUUUAUUGUUCUAUUUCCUAAAGUUCUUUCUUGGCUCUUUUUUUUGGUUUUAUGUUAGAUUUUCAGCUUUUUCAAUUAUUAUUAUUUUUUUAUUAUAUAAUAUUAAGUGUUAAAAUAAAAUGUUUCAAUGAA
Molecule: long non-coding RNA, 1686 nt
Organism: Acanthopagrus latus (yellowfin seabream)
Lineage: Eukaryota; Metazoa; Chordata; Actinopteri; Spariformes; Sparidae
Exons: 3
Source: RefSeq, a predicted model, not a curated record